Molecule: ribosomal RNA, 378 nt
Filed under: uncultured bacterium
Lineage: Bacteria
Description: bacterial SSU rRNA
Rfam family: Bacterial small subunit ribosomal RNA
Source: RNAcentral
GACGAACGCUGGCGGCGUGCUUAACACAUGCAAGUCGAGCGGUAAGGCCCUUUCGGGGGUACACGAGCGGCGAACGGGUGAGUAACACGUGGGUGACCUGCCCUUAGCUCUGGGAUAAGCCUGGGAAACUGGGUCUAAUACCGGAUAUGACUCCAUGACGCAUGUUGUGGGGUGGAAAGCCUUGUGCGGCUAGGGAUGGGCCCGCGGCCUAUCAGCUUGUUGGUGGGGUGAUGGCCUACCAAGGCGACGACGGGUAGCCGGCCUGAGAGGGCGACCGGCCACACUGGGACUGAGACACGGCCCAGACUCCUACGGGAGGCAGCAGUGGGGAAUCUUGCGCAAUGGGCGAAAGCCUGACGCAGCGACGCCGCGUGGGGA